GGUGUAGCUCAGCUGGUAGAGUAGUGGUCUCCAAAACCAUUGGUCGUGGGUUCGAAUCCUACCGCC
RNAcentral lists this transfer RNA (66 nucleotides) under marine eukaryotic metagenome. It matches the Rfam family "tRNA". From Rfam's summary of the family: Transfer RNA (tRNA) molecules are approximately 80 nucleotides in length. Their secondary structure includes four short double-helical elements and three loops (D, anti-codon, and T loops). Further hydrogen bonds mediate the characteristic L-shaped molecular structure. tRNAs have two regions of fundamental functional importance: the anti-codon, which is responsible for specific mRNA codon recognition, and the 3' end, to which the tRNAs corresponding amino acid is attached (by aminoacyl-tRNA synthetases). tRNAs cope with the degeneracy of the genetic code in two manners: having more than one tRNA (with a specific anti-codon) for a particular amino acid; and 'wobble' base-pairing, i.e. permitting non-standard base-pairing at the 3rd anti-codon position. The record is from RNAcentral.